GAUGAACGCUGGCGGCGUGCCUAAUACAUGCAAGUCGAGCGAACAGACGAGGAGCUUGCUCCUCUGACGUUAGCGGCGGACGGGUGAGUAACACGUGGAUAACCUACCUAUAAGACUGGGAUAACUUCGGGAAACCGGAGCUAAUACCGGAUAAUAUAUUGAACCGCAUGGUUCAAUAGUGAAAGACGGUUUUGCUGUCACUUAUAGAUGGAUCCGCGCCGCAUUAGCUAGUUGGUAAGGUAACGGCUUACCAAGGCAACGAUGCGUAGCCGACCUGAGAGGGGGGUGGGCCACAGGGGAAGGGACACGGGGACAAGCCCCCUGGGGGAGGAGACAGAGGGGAAUCUCCCGAAUGGGGGGAAGACCUAGCGGAGCACCGCGGCGUGAGUAAGAAAUGUUUUGGUCUCGAAAACCUGUUUUAUGGGGAAAAAAAAAAUGUGAAAUAAAAUAGGCCGUUCUUGACGGUACCUAAUAAAAAAGCCCCGGCAAACUCCGUC
Molecule: ribosomal RNA, 497 nt
Filed under: uncultured bacterium
Lineage: Bacteria
Description: partial 16S ribosomal RNA
Rfam family: Bacterial small subunit ribosomal RNA
Source: RNAcentral